Molecule: ribosomal RNA, 497 nt
Filed under: uncultured bacterium
Lineage: Bacteria
Description: partial 16S ribosomal RNA
Rfam family: Bacterial small subunit ribosomal RNA
Source: RNAcentral
GAUGAACGCUGGCGGCGUGCCUAAUACAUGCAAGUCGAGCGAACAGACGAGGAGCUUGUUCCCUUGAGGUUAGCGGCGGACGGGGGAGUAACAAGUGGAUAACCAACUAAUAAGACGGGGAUAAUUUCGGGAAACCGGAGCUACUACCGGAGAAUAUAUUGAACGGCUGGGUUCAGUAGUGAAAGAGGGUUUGGCGGUCACUAUGAGAUGAUUCCGGGCCGCAUUAGCUAGUUGGUAAGGUAACGGCUUACCAAGGAAACGAUGCGUAGCCGACCUGAGAGGGUGAUCGGCCACACUGGAACUGAGACACGGUCCAGACUCCUACGGGAGGCAGCAGUAGGGAAUCUUCCGCAAUGGGCGAAAGCCUGACGGAGCAACGCCGCGUGAGUGAUGAAGGUCUUCGGAUCGUAAAACUCUGUUAUUAGGGAAGAACAAAUGUGUAAGUAACUAUGCACGUCUUGACGGUACCUAAUCAGAAAGCCACGGCUAACUACGUG